CAGGACGUAGCUAUAAACCAAAGCAUUCAGCUUACACCUGAAAGAUGUCUUCUAACCAGGACCGACCUGA
This 70-nucleotide transfer RNA is filed under the name Nothocercus nigrocapillus. Its description in RNAcentral is "tRNA-Val". The record is from RNAcentral. Lineage: Eukaryota; Metazoa; Chordata; Aves; Tinamiformes; Tinamidae.